Molecule: signal recognition particle RNA, 98 nt
Filed under: Campylobacterales bacterium
Lineage: Bacteria; Pseudomonadati; Campylobacterota; Epsilonproteobacteria; Campylobacterales
Description: signal recognition particle sRNA small type
Rfam family: Bacterial small signal recognition particle RNA
About the family: The signal recognition particle (SRP) is a universally conserved ribonucleoprotein involved in the co-translational targeting of proteins to membranes.
Source: RNAcentral
CUUUCAGACCUAUGCAACGGUUUUUGUGGACAACGGGUCAGGAUGGGAACAUAGCAGCCCACCCACUCUUAUUGUGUGCCGUAGGUAUCUGGGAGGAG